UACGGAGGAUCCGAGCGUUAUCCGGAUUUAUUGGGUUUAAAGGGUGCGUAGGCGGCCUUUUAAGUCAGCGGUGAAAGUCUGUGGCUCAACCAUAGAAUUGCCGUUGAAACUGGAGGCCUUGAGUGCACACAGGGGUGCCGGAAUUCAUGGUGUAGCGGUGAAAUGCUUAGAUAUCACGCAGAACUCCGAUUGCGAAGGCAGCAUACCGGCGCCCGACUGACGCUGAGGCACGAAAGCGUGGGGAUCGAACAGG
RNAcentral lists this ribosomal RNA (253 nucleotides) under uncultured bacterium. Its description in RNAcentral is "partial 16S ribosomal RNA". It matches the Rfam family "Bacterial small subunit ribosomal RNA", at positions 524 to 776 of the family's 1533-position model. The record is from RNAcentral.